RNAcentral lists this ribosomal RNA (487 nucleotides) under uncultured bacterium. Its description in RNAcentral is "bacterial SSU rRNA". It matches the Rfam family "Bacterial small subunit ribosomal RNA", at positions 28 to 507 of the family's 1533-position model. The record is from RNAcentral.
GACGAACGCUGGCGGCGUGGAUUAGGCAUGCAAGUCGAACGGUAUCAUCCUUUCGGGGAUGAGAGAGUGGCGAACGGGUGAGUAACACGUAGGUGAUCUACCCUCAAGACGGGGACAACCCAGGGAAACUUGGGCUAAUACCGGAUGUGAGCUAUCGCGAGAUAGUUUGAAAGGUGGCUUCGGCUGCCGCUUGAGGAUGAGCCUGCGUCCUAUUAGCUAGUUGGUGAGGUAACGGCUCACCGAGGCGAUGAUAGGUAGGCGGCCUUAACGGGUGGUCGCCCACACUGGGAUUGAGAUACGGCCCAGACUCCUACGGGAGGCAGCAGUCGAGAAUAGUCUACAAUGGUCGAAAGACUGAUAGUGCGACGCCGCGUGAACGAAGAAGCCCUUCGGGUGUAAAGUUCUUUUAUAUGUGAGCAGUGACAUCUAUAUUAAUAGUAUGGGUGUAGAGAUAUUAGCAUAUGAAUAAGCAACGGCUAACUCCGUG